AACGAACGCUGGCGGCAGGCUUAACACAUGCAAGUCGAACGGAUGUAGCAAUACAUCAGUGGCAGACGGGUGAGUAACACGUGGGAACCUUCCUCGUUGUACGGGACAACUCAGGGAAACUUGAGCUAAUACCGUAUAAGUCCGAGAGGAGAAAGAUUUAUCGCAAUGAGACGGGCCCGCGUCGGAUUAGCUAGUUGGUGGGGUAACGGCCGUACCAAGGCGACGAUCCGUAGCNGAUCUGAGAGGAUGAUCAGCCACACUGGGACGUGAGACACGGCCCACGACUCCUACGGGAGGCAGCAGUGGGGAAGUCUUGGACAAUGGGCGCAAGCCUGAUCCAGCCAUGCCGCGUGAGUGAAGAAGGCCUUAGGGUUGUAAGCUCUUUUGCCAGGGACGAUAAUGACGGUACCUGGAGAAUAAGCCCCGGC
Molecule: ribosomal RNA, 428 nt
Filed under: uncultured bacterium
Lineage: Bacteria
Description: bacterial SSU rRNA
Rfam family: Bacterial small subunit ribosomal RNA
Source: RNAcentral